UCCAGCCCAAUAUAGAGAGUCAGCGAAGUCGACAUUCCUUCUGGGGUUUCUUGCCUCCUGCAAAAUCCGGGGAAGCUUAACCGUUAAUAGAGCUUCUGAAAUUCUUAGAGAGACGUCCCUUGGUCUGUAAAUCGGCGCGUCUGUGACUGUUCCCGUCGUUUCGUUGUUGCUUCUUCUCCUCACAUGCGUUACAAGCCGCAUUGAUUCGUCAUUAAGGAGAUCUUAACUCUUGCGACCCACAGCAACCACAAUCACUCAAUCAAUGAGUCUUAUCCCUCUUCCAAUAGGUGGAUCUCCACCUAUAAAAAGGAAAAUCGCCGGCCAGCUAACUCGAAUAUGCUUUUAAAGAGAACAUUUCUCACUCCUCCACCUUCUAAGAGCAUAACAGCCUCUCCGGGUCGGCUUUUAUCCAUAAGAGGAAGCAUAUCAGCGAGUCCAGAAGAGAAGGAAAACACAUGGGUGAUGGGUAUUACGCGUAAGAGCUACACCACGUUGAAGAUCUGAAGAAAAUUUAUAUAGACGCAGUUUCAGCCAUUAAUGGCGGCGGAAGGAAAUCACUUGGUGGCUGAGGAGGGACCAGGACAUCACUUGGCGGUGGUAGUGGUCGGCGUUGGUUUUUGUAAUGGGUGCCUGCACCUCAUGUCAUGUCUCCAAUGACACCGAGCGGUUUCAGUUUAUCAACAUCAUAAGAAAAAGUCGUGUUGGUGCUCAUAUCACACGUGUCAUUGAACUCUUAUUUGAGACAAGGCAAACCUUUACACCAGAUCAAAUAAACUAAAACUGUUAUGUUAUUAUGCUUGCCAACAAGACUGUUCUUGAUAGUUUGAGGAACAAUGCCAUAAGUGUACUAUGAUGAGAGGAGGUUCUCUUACAAGAUAAGAAGUAGCUUCUCGGACUGGUUAUGUAAUAUCCUGCUGGGAUUGCGGCAGUUGAUCUAAAAGAUGCUUACCUGAAUGUCAUGGAGGAUUUACAUGUUUGCUUUUUCUUAUACAAUUGGUCGGGACAAAGAUAAGUGUUUGAUCACCUUAAAUCCAGUUGGUUUUGGCUGGAAAGGAACUUAUCUCAAGUUGUGUAUUUAUAUUGAUAUAUAUAGUUUGGUUCUUGAUUGUGUUUGUAUUAUGUGGGCUCUGAAAGCUUCGAAACGCUGAUUCACAAGAUGAUAUUGUGUACCCUACGUCCCUGACGACUUCAACCUCAGGUCGAGGUUAAUGACGAGUUCCAAUCUCUGCUCGGAGACAUAGACACCCCCAGGGACCUGCUUGACGUGGAGAAGGAGCUGCUUAAGAUUAUUUGUGUGACCAAUCCUUUGUGAACGUUUAGAGUUUUAAUCGGUGAUGUUGUGUGUUGAAAACAGGAUGAUAAAUCAGGAACCAUUACUGAAGUACUGGCUGAAGAUGGAAAACUAGCCAGCGUUGAUACGGGACAUCGUUACAAAAACUUGGAUCAAGAGAGAAACAGUAAAAGAAGUAAGAAACGUUUGUGAAGCAGAAGCUAGAAGAUAAGAUGAGGCUAAUGAUAAAUCACAAUUGGAACAGAUCAAACCACAGUGACAGGAAGGUUAUAGGUGAGUGACGACUUGAUGGUAGGUCCACAGUAGCCAAAGUCAGCCUGUUAGAAGCAGCUUCUUGAUCUAGACCAAGAAGGCGACACCUGAUUUGGAUUGAACUUCCUUGACAAGAACAUGUGCCGGUUUUAGAACAGAGGAAUGAAGAUGUGCAUUCCUCUCCCUCCAUAGAAAAUAUUAACUCCCUCAAAAAUGAGCUUCAGAAUGGGUUUACUCCCUGCAGCGUAACAAGUAACAACCACUGCAAGCCACGAGAUCACAUCAUCAAGAGUUGAGGAUGAACUGAAAUAGUUCCUGAUAAAGAAAGUUUGCAGCCUCUCUUUACCAUCAUGUAAUAAACUCAGUCAGGUUGGUUUGGUUUCAAUUUCCCAUGUUUUCUUCUGAACUGUCACUUUCUUUUGGGAAUCAUGUAAUAUAUCAGUAUGCAUUAAGAAAAUAAUUUACUUUGUAGUA
Long non-coding RNA from Brassica oleracea var. oleracea, 2017 nucleotides. RefSeq lists it as uncharacterized. Lineage: Eukaryota; Viridiplantae; Streptophyta; Magnoliopsida; Brassicales; Brassicaceae. The transcript has 5 exons. The record is from RefSeq and is a predicted model, not a curated record.